Molecule: ribosomal RNA, 391 nt
Filed under: uncultured bacterium
Lineage: Bacteria
Description: bacterial SSU rRNA
Rfam family: Bacterial small subunit ribosomal RNA
Source: RNAcentral
AUUGAACGCUGGCGGCAUGCCUUACACAUGCAAGUCGAACGGCAGCGGACCUUCGGGUGCCGGCGAGUGGCGAACGGGUGAGUAAUAUAUCGGAACGUACCUUUCAGUGGGGGAUAACGUAGCGAAAGUUACGCUAAUACCGCAUAUUCUGUGAGCAGGAAAGCAGGGGAUCGCAAGACCUUGCGCUGAUUGAGCGGCCGAUAUCAGAUUAGCUAGUUGGUGAGGUAAAGGCUCACCAAGGCGACGAUCUGUAGCGGGUCUGAGAGGAUGAUCCGCCACACUGGAACUGAGACACGGUCCAGACUCCUACGGGAGGCAGCAGUGGGGAAUUUUGGACAAUGGGCGCAAGCCUGAUCCAGCCAUGCCGCGUGAGUGAAGAAGGGCCUCGGUU